UGAAAGAAGAAAACCUAGAUAUGCUAGC
This 28-nucleotide non-coding RNA is filed under the name Mus musculus (house mouse). Lineage: Eukaryota; Metazoa; Chordata; Mammalia; Rodentia; Muridae. The record is from RNAcentral.